AUUGAACGCUGGCGGAAUGCUUUACACAUGCAAGUCGAACGGCAGCACGGGGCAACCUGGUGGCGAGUGGCGAACGGGUGAGUAAUACAUCGGAACGUGCCCAAUCGUGGGGGAUAACGUAGCGAAAGUUACGCUAAUACCGCAUACGAUCUACGGAUGAAAGCGGGGGAACGCAAGACCUCGCGCGAAUGGAGCGGCCGAUGUCAGAUUAGGUAGUUGGUGGGGUAAAGGCUCACCAAGCCAACGAUCUGUAGCUGGUCUGAGAGGACGACCAGCCACACCGGAACUGAGACACGGUCCAGACUCCUACGGGAGGCAGCAGUGGGGAAUUUUGGACAAUGGGCGAAAGCCUGAUCCAGCCAUUCCGCGUGAGUGAAGAAGGCCUCGGUGUAAGACUCUUCGUACGGGAACGGAAAGUAC
This 420-nucleotide ribosomal RNA is filed under the name uncultured bacterium. Its description in RNAcentral is "bacterial SSU rRNA". It matches the Rfam family "Bacterial small subunit ribosomal RNA", at positions 29 to 455 of the family's 1533-position model. The record is from RNAcentral.